GUCGCGUGCGAGCGGAGAUUCCCGCGGGCGUACUUACUGCUGGUACACGAGAGAACUCACACGCCUCACCCGUCCUGUCUGCGGCAGGACCUUCAGGCGCUCUGAGCACCUCAGGAUGCACAGAGAGACACACGGCGGAAGCAAGAGGACUACCUAAGCAAAAAGCGACGUGCCUACGUGCCUCCCCGCCGCCCACAGAACCGCCCAGGCGAAGCCCCAGCCACCCAUAAUCCGCCUCUCUCCCCCAGACAGCAGGGAUACAUACCCGCCUUAGAUAAAGCUCGUCUUCCCGCCGCCUAACUCGGCCAUAGAGAAUUUCCAUAAUCUACUCACGUCCCGACCGCCUCAACCCCACUCAACCUCGCCGCCAACACUCGCUAAACUUCCCGGAGCCGGAGGGCCGCUCCCUCGCGCUGGCUCCUCGAGGCUCGCUGUGUCAACGACGUAAUGCGAUUUAUUACGUCGAGGGAACUCACUUAUCUUCGUCGCGUGUAACUCAUGACGCAAGUAUGCAUGAGUUAUGGGAAAUGCCCGCUGCGAUGCCGUCAUGUGUAACGUGUGUCUAUCCCAACCUCUUUUAAGAAUCUAUGUUUCAAUUUGUGUUUAUACGAUUGCAUAGAAGUCCGAAUAAGGAAGUGUUUGUCGUCUCGAAAUCUUCAGCGCCCCCUGCGACUGACCGCUUAACCGCGCCCAUUUCCCUUUUUUACUCCCCCACCCCUACCCUCUCACCCCCAAACGGCCCCUUCCCUUCACAACCCCUUCCUCCCUUCCUCUUACAGUCCCUUCUCCCCCUCCUCCUUCCCUCUGCCUCCUCUCCUCCUUUCCCUUUCCCUUCCCCUUCCUUCCCCCCUCCCCUCUCAACCCCUUUCUCCCUUCCACUUACAAAAAUAUCAGUCUCGCCCUCUGCCCGCGCCCCUCCACCUUCAACGGAACUACUCGCUGGCGCCCCUACUCGCAUACCGCCAGCCCCGCCCACACCUCGAGACCCCGCCCAUCACGGUCACGACUCUGCCCGCCCACAACGAUUAGAGUCAGUAUGCAUGUAUGCCGUAGCGAAGGUGGACAAACGCACGAAUUAUUCCCUAUGAUUACGGAAAUAAUUAUACGUCGGAGGGGAAAGAACUUAUGGGUGUUUGAGUUCAGCGAAUCCAGUCAUCAUUUGAAGUAUCGGAAUGCUACAGUACAUGGUGGUUAUUUGGUCAUGCUUUAUCCGAUGGAAUAAAUAAACGACCCCCUCUCUCUUAGCACUCGAGAACGAUGCCCACUCAUGCCCACUCUUUAAGCGCCUUUCCCCCCUGAAACUGUGGCCGAGGUAUCGCGUGGGGUAUGGCCUGGGCAAGGGCAGGCGCUUAAACGUUCCAACUAAUUGUUAAAAACGAUUCCCUCCUGCUCGGAAUUCCUUUGGAGAUUUCCUUCGGUUGUCGUAAUUAUGUCACAUGAUAAUAAUUAUCCCCGAGACCCACUCUCUUCCCUGAUACCGUAAGUCGUCCCUCUCCCCUCCCGGAGUAGUUAAUUACCUGACUAAUUACAAGCAAUUAGAGUGUUUGUGCACCUCGCUGGAUGUGUGUACUGGAGUCUAAUAAGUAGGUGAGGCAACGAGCUAUAGAAGCGGGCAUUAGAGUUAUUGAUGCGUAAUAGCCGAGAAUUGGCCCCAUUAGGGCAUGGAGCGGCGUCACUGAGGGCAAGGAAUGCAAAAAGAAGGCCUUUUGUGCAGUUGAGUGGAGUCUCCAUGUUGGAACUUGUGGCCAUGAGAGAGACGUAUUCGUUUAUGCAUUCUUAAACGUUUUGUUUCUCUUUUUUUUGAGAAAUAAGUGCUGUUACUUCCACUUUAAGAAUAUUCCUCGCGAAAAAGAGUACAUAUUAAUCCUAAUGGUAGAUUUAGGCUUACUAAUGAACAUCGAAUAAGUUGAAGAAAUGCUUGUUGAAGAAAUCCUGCCUCAUUGCGGUGUCUGCUAGAAGGCACGAGUAAAUGCAUAGUAAUUAGUCUGGAUUCCGUCCUGUGCGACGCGUUGUAACUUGUAAGCGAUAAUCACUUCAAAGUCUAGUCAGUGAACUGCGGAACUUUGACGAAACUGUUAUCCUUGGGUGCUCCUGUAUGUAUAUUAAUAAAGGAUGAUUAGAAUA
RNAcentral lists this long non-coding RNA (2124 nucleotides) under Penaeus japonicus. RNAcentral's name for it is "uncharacterized LOC122264576". Lineage: Eukaryota; Metazoa; Arthropoda; Malacostraca; Decapoda; Penaeidae. The record is from RNAcentral.